RNAcentral lists this ribosomal RNA (429 nucleotides) under Acidobacteriota bacterium. Its description in RNAcentral is "Acidobacteria bacterium partial 16S ribosomal RNA". It matches the Rfam family "Bacterial small subunit ribosomal RNA", at positions 355 to 776 of the family's 1533-position model. The record is from RNAcentral. Lineage: Bacteria; Pseudomonadati; Acidobacteriota.
UGGGGAAUUUUGGACAAUGGGGGAAACCCUGAUACAGCCAUCCCGCGUGUGCGAUGAAGGCCUCCGGGUUGUAAAGCACUUUUGGCAGGAAAGAAACGUCAUGGGUUAAUACCCCGUGAACCUGACGGUACCUGCAGAAUAAGCACCGGCUAACUACGUGCCAGCAGCCGCGGUAAUACGUAGGGUGCAAGCGUUAAUCGGAAUUACUGGGCGUAAAGCGUGCGCAGGCGGUUCGGAAAGAAAGAUGUGAAAUCCCAGAGCUCAACUUUGGAACUGCAUUUUUAACUACCGGGCUAGAGUGUGAGAGAGGGAGGUGGCAUUCCGCGUGUAGCAGUGAAAUGCGUAGAUAUGCGGAGGAACACCGAUGGAGAAGGCAGCCUCCUGGGAUAACACUGACGCUCAUGCACGAAAGCGUGGGGAGCAAACAGG